RNAcentral lists this ribosomal RNA (548 nucleotides) under uncultured Glomus. Its description in RNAcentral is "SSU rRNA". It matches the Rfam family "Eukaryotic small subunit ribosomal RNA", at positions 548 to 1098 of the family's 1831-position model. Lineage: Eukaryota; Fungi; Glomeromycota; Glomeromycetes; Glomerales; Glomeraceae. The record is from RNAcentral.
UUGGAGGGCAAGUCUGGUGCCAGCAGCCGCGGUAAUUCCAGCUCCAAUAGCGUAUAUUAAAGUUGUUGCAGUUAAAAAGCUCGUAGUUGAAUUUCGGGAUCAAGGAAUCGGUCAUGCCUCGGUAUGUACUGGUUUUAUUGGUUCUCACCUUCUAAAGAACCAUGAUGUCAUUCAUUUGAUGUUAUGGGGAAUUAGGACUGUUACCUUGAAAAAAUUAGAGUGUUUAAAGCAGGCUUACGCUUGAAUACAUUAGCAUGGAAUAAUGAAAUAGGACAUCAGAUUCUAUUUUGUUGGUUUCUAGGAUCGAUGUAAUGAUUAAUAGGGAUAGUUGGGGGCAUUAGUAUUCAAUUGUCAGAGGUGAAAUUCUUGGAUUUAUUGAAGACUAACUACUGCGAAAGCAUUUGCCAAGGAUGUUUUCAUUAAUCAAGAACGAGAGUUAGGGGAUCGAAGACGAUCAGAUACCGUCGUAGUCUUAACCAUAAACUAUGCCGACUAGGGAUCGGAUGAUGUUAAUUUUAUAAUGACUCAUUCGGCGCCUUACGGGAAAC